UUCUUUUCAGCUUCUGAAGGUUUCACCAUCACUGGUUGACCAAGAAGAGGCUGCCCAGAGAGAGCUAUGGCCAUAGGGACUGACAUCACAUCAUAGAACUCAAUAUACCCAACUCCCUUUGAACGUCUUGAGUUGCGAUCCGUUAUGAGGCGUACAUCUCGCACCUUGCCAGCCCUUGAGAAAAACUCAUAGACAUCUCUUUCAUCUGCCUUCAAAGAUAUCUGAUAAGCAAAUACUGUUCGUUGAUCACGUUCAGGGUCAGCUUCAGGCUCUGUAACUUCUUCCUUUUUUUCUUUAUGUCUUCUGCUUUCUCUAUCCAGUUCCCUCGACUCCGUCUCCCUUUCUUUAUACUUCAUGUCUCGGAUCCUCUCUCUGUCCCUUUCAUCCAAAUCAAUUCGAUGCCUUUCUGACCAGCUCCUGCUUCGACGUGACUGCUCUCUUUCCCCCUCCUUGUCCCUUUCACUAUCACGAUCAUGCUCUCGAUCUCUAAGCCUGUCCCUCUCUUUCCCAUUUCUUUCCUCCCUAUCUCCACCUCUGUCUCUAUCUCUAUGUUCCCGACUACUACGGAGUCGGUCCUUAUCACCAUCUUUAGAUCGUGAGAGAUGACGAGAAGAGCCCUUUUCUUUAUGCCGGUCACGAUCACGAAAUUCAUCUCCAGAUUUUACGCGCUUUGAGCGAUGAUCAUCAUCCCCAUCAUCCUUCUCACUGAUCUUGUGUUUUGAACUCCAACUGCUAUAUUUAUUCCCAGGCUUCGUGGCAUCACCAACACCAUUGGCAGUUUCCUUCACUUUAUGGAGUUCAGGGUUUUCAACUGUUUUCUCCAGGUAAUCAUACUCAUCAAAAUCCAUUUUAACUAUAGUCUAAUCAGACAAGCAACCUUGCAAGUAAAUUUUAUUACAGCUCUAGAU
RNAcentral lists this unclassified non-coding RNA (908 nucleotides) under Hevea brasiliensis (rubber tree). The record is from RNAcentral. Lineage: Eukaryota; Viridiplantae; Streptophyta; Magnoliopsida; Malpighiales; Euphorbiaceae.